GAUUGAACGCUGGCGGAAUGCUUUACACAUGCAAGUCGAGCGGCAGCGCGGGGCAACCUGGCGGCGAGCGGCGAACGGGUGAGUAAUGCAUCGGAACGUACCCAUUUGUGGGGGAUAACUAUCCGAAAGGAUAGCUAAUACCGCAUAAGUCCUGAGGGAGAAAGCAGGGGAUCGCAAGACCUUGCGCGAAUGGAGCGGCCGAUGCCGGAUUAGCUAGUUGGUAGGGUAAAGGCCUACCAAGGCGACGAUCCGUAGCUGGUCUGAGAGGAUGAUCAGCCACACUGGAACUGAGACACGGUCCAGACUCCUACGGGAGGCAGCGGUGGGGAAUUUUGGACAAUGGGGGCAACCCUGAUCCAGCCAUUCCGCGUGAGUGAAGAAGGCCUUCGGGUUGUAAAGCUCUUUCGGCAGGAACGAAACGGUGGGGGCUAAUACCCUCCGCUAGUGACGGUACCUGAAGAAGAAGCACCGGCUAACUACGUGCCAGCAGCCGCGGUAAUACGUAGGGUGCGAGCGUUAAUCGGAAUUACUGGGCGUAAAGCGUGCGCAGGCGGUUCUAUAAGACAGAUGUGAAAUCCCNNNNGCUUAACCUGGGAACUGCGUUUGUGACUGUAGGACUCGAGUGUGGCAGAGGNNNGUGGAAUUCNACGUGUAGCAGUGAAAUNCGUAGAGAUGUGGAGGAACACCGAUGGCGAAGGCAGCCCCCUGGGUCAACACUGACGCUCAUGCACGAAAGCGUGGGUAGCAAACAGGAUUAGAUACCCUGGUAGUCCACGCCCUAAACGAUGCGAACUAGGUGUUGGGGAAGGAGACUUUCUUAGUACCGCAGCUAACGCGUGAAGUUCGCCGCCUGGGGAGUACGGUCGCAAGAUUAAAACUCAAAGGAAUUGACGGGGACCCGCACAAGCGGUGGAUGAUGUGGAUUAAUUCGAUGCAACGCGAAAAACCUUACCUACCCUUGACAUGCCAGGAACUUGGUAGAGAUACCUUGGUGCCCGAAAGGGAGCCUGGACACAGGUGCUGCAUGGCUGUCGUCAGCUCGUGUCGUGAGAUGUUGGGUUAAGUCCCGCAACGAGCGCAACCCUUGUCAUUAGUUGCCAUCAUUUAGUUGGGCACUCUAAUGAGACUGCCGGUGACAAACCGGAGGAAGGUGGGGAUGACGUCAAGUCCUCAUGGCCCUUAUGGGUAGGGCUUCACACGUCAUACAAUGGUCGGUACAGAGGGUUGCCAAGCCGCGAGGUGGAGCCAAUCCCAGAAAGCCGAUCGUAGUCCGGAUCGGAGUCUGCAACUCGACUCCGUGAAGUCGGAAUCGCUAGUAAUCGUGGAUCAGCAUGCCACGGUGAAUACGUUCCCGGGUC
RNAcentral lists this ribosomal RNA (1358 nucleotides) under uncultured soil bacterium. Its description in RNAcentral is "bacterial SSU rRNA". It matches the Rfam family "Bacterial small subunit ribosomal RNA", at positions 27 to 1380 of the family's 1533-position model. The record is from RNAcentral.